UCCGGAUUGGAGUCUGCAACUCGACUCCAUGAAGUCGGAAUCGCUAGUAAUCGUAGAUCAGAAUGCUACGGUGAAUACGUUCCCGGGCCUUGUACACACCGCCCGUCACACCAUGGGAGUGGGUUGCAAAAGAAGUAGGUAGCUUAACCUUCGGGAGGGCGCUUACCACUUUGUGAUUCAUGACUGGGGUGAAGUCGUAACAAGGUAACCGUAGGGGAACCUGCGGUUGGAUCACCUCCUU
RNAcentral lists this ribosomal RNA (241 nucleotides) under Klebsiella pneumoniae. RNAcentral describes it as "partial 16S ribosomal RNA". It matches the Rfam family "Bacterial small subunit ribosomal RNA", at positions 1292 to 1532 of the family's 1533-position model. The record is from RNAcentral. Lineage: Bacteria; Pseudomonadati; Pseudomonadota; Gammaproteobacteria; Enterobacterales; Enterobacteriaceae.